UGGGGACAAGGUACCAUGGUGACCAUCAGUUCAGUUAACCCCUCGCCCCCGUCUGUCUUCCCCCUGACCUCCUGCACCGCCAAAGGCACCACCCCCCAGGUCACCUUCGGCUGCCUGGCCAAAGGAUACUUCCCCGAGCCGGUCACCGUGACAUGGAGCCCAAAAGUUGCCUCCCCGGGUGUGAAGACCUAUCCCUCCCUGCUGCAACCUUCCAGCGGCCUCUACACGCUCAGCAGCCAGGUCACCGUCCCGGCCAGCAGCUGGGAGUCUAACACUUAUAGCUGCAACGUACAACACCAGCCCACCAGCUCCAGCAUCUCCAAGGAAAUCCCAAAGGCCCUGUCCUCUGAACCCCAGGUGCAAGUCCUCCACUCCUCCUGCACCGCCAACCCAGGCAUCAUCCAGCUGGUGUGCUUCAUCUCCGGCUUCUACCCCAAUUCUUUGAAGGUGGAAUGGCUGGUGAAUGGCAAGCCCAACAUACUUCAGGGUGAAACCGCCCCUUCCAGGAUGGACAUCAUUGGCCACACCUUCAGCACCCGCAACAACGCCAGUAUCUCCCAGGAUGAGUGGCUGGAGGGCAAGACGUACACCUGCCAGGUGUACCACCCGGGCACCAGCACCACAAAUCAGGACCAUGCCCGCAAGUGCGAAGAAGAAACAACAUCUCCCAGCAACAUCCAGAUCUUCCUGGUGCCCCCAUCUCCCACCGCCCUGUAUGUGGCCCAGAGCCCCAUGCUCACCUGCGUGGUGGUCAACCUGCCGAGCAACUCCAGCCUCCGGGUGGUCUGGUCCCGGGAGAAGCCAGGGUCCAUUAGCCCUGAUCGCCUGGACGUCAGUGAGCAGUUCAAUGGCACCUUCACCGCCUCCAGCUCCAUGCCCAUCUUCACCCGCGACUGGGAUGCCGGAGAGACCUUCACCUGCAAAGUGGAGCACUUGGCGCUGCCCUCACCCCUCAUCAAAUCCAUCUCCAAGAAGCCAGGCAGACGCUCUGGCCCAGGCAUCUACCUCCUGCGCCCCCACAAUGAUGAGCUGAGCAGCUCCGAAGACUCUGUCAGCCUCACCUGCCUGGUGCGGGGCUUCUUCCCCGAGGACAUCUCGGUGCAGUGGAUGAAGAACCACAAACCUGACGAGAGCAUGGAAUACAUCACCACCCAGCCCGUCAAGGAUGGAGCCGGCGACUCGAACUUCUUCCUCUACAGCAAGCUGAAAGUCAGCAAGGCCAGCUGGAACAGCGGGGACACCUACACCUGCAUGGUCAUCCACGAAGCCCUGCAGAUGAAGUUCACCCAACACAGCGUCAGCAAAGUCUCUGGGAGCUCCCGCACCAUGGCAGCAUCCCGGCACCUCGCCCACCUCAGAGGGAACCUGAGCCACCUUUCUCAAGCAGAGAAACUAAGGCACAGAGAAAUUGAACACGUGGCCAAGCUUCAGUGCCAGGGUGUAGGGCCACGGCCACAUGGGACAAAGGUGAUCGUGUCUGGUGAGUUUUGCAGCGAGGACGGAGACAAAGAGCUAGACGGACUCUGGUCCACCAUCUCGGUCUUCAUCACCCUCUUCCUCUUGAGUGUGUGCUACAGCGCCACCGUGACCCUGUUCAAGGUGAAGUGGCUGUUCUCCACCGUGGUGCAGCUGAAGCAGGCAAGUGGCCCCGAGUACAAGAACGUGAUCCAGCGCGUGGUGUAGGGGCCGCUGUCCCCAUCCGCCCGGAAACAAGGGGCCGGGACUCCCGGCUCUACUGGUGACACCACCCUGAGUCCCACAGCUGACCCCCGCUAGCGCUGUGCCCCUGGGAGACCCCCCUGGGGGGAGCGAGGAUCUCACCCCACAUGGCCUAAUCCACCCUCAGCCACUGGGGACGCUGCCCUGCUGGGAGCUGGGCUGAGUCCGGAUAACUCGUAUCAUGCAGGGAACCAGCGCCCCUAGCGAGGAAACAACCUGAGUCCCACUUCCCACCCUCCUGAGCCCAACAGCCCCCUGCUCUGGGACUGGAUCAGAGCCAGCGCCCCCUAGAACAGAAAGGCCCCAUAACCCCUUCCCCACCCCCUGCGCCAGCCAGCCCCCUGCCCUGGGGCAGGACCAUAGCCAGAGUUGUGUCUGUCAUGCUGUAUGUUGCAUAUUUAGCUCUUCAUUGGGAUUUUUGUGGGUGGUGUAUGAGUGUGACUUUUGUUGUGUGCACUGAGUGACAAUAAAUAAAUAAAUAUACAAAUCA
Molecule: non-coding RNA, 2209 nt
Organism: Dermochelys coriacea (leatherback sea turtle)
Lineage: Eukaryota; Metazoa; Chordata; Testudines; Dermochelyidae
Source: the annotation of a RefSeq genome assembly